Chinchilla lanigera (long-tailed chinchilla) is the source of this 7321-nucleotide long non-coding RNA. RefSeq lists it as uncharacterized. The record is from RefSeq and is a predicted model, not a curated record. NCBI's taxonomy places the organism in Eukaryota, Metazoa, Chordata, Mammalia, Rodentia, Chinchillidae. The transcript has 5 exons.
UCAACAUGUUCUUUAUUUAAUUAGUCUUUUAGGCAUUUAAAAGCACACGCAUAUUUAAAAGAAAAGGUCUAUUAUAAAGGAGAUGUAAAGCCAACUCGAAUACUUCAUCAUCAGAAUUCAGUUUGAUUCUUCUUCCCCUCUCCCUUUGUUCUAGGGGGAAGUAGGUUUUGCGCACGAUUUGGGGUUCAGCAGUAGGACUGGGUAGAAGUUGAGUCCACAAGGAUUUGUUGACUUUGCUUUCAAGGAGAUGCCGAGCUGUGGUCUUAGCCGAUGGCUGCACCCAGACUUCAAAUUAUAAAGUCUUCACCAAGGGUGAGAAGUAGCAUCUGAAGCGUCUCUGUGAAGAAAUUGGUUGCAGGGUUGCGUUGUCCACUCUACAGACCUCAUCCUAACCUGACAUCUGCAGAGGCCCUGUUUCCAAAGAAGUUCCCUGGGCAGGAGGAGGUGAUCUCAGUAGCGUAGGUGACACACAUUGAGGACCUGCACAGGAAGGAAGACAAGAAGCAGCCCUGGAUUUUUUGAGUGGAUCCCACAGCCCAGAAAAGCAGUGACUCUCAGAACUCAGAAAGUGCCAGCACCCUCCAGCCCAGACUGCGUCUGACCACUCACCCUCCUGACUGUUUCAGCUGGCUCAUACAGCCUGGUUAACAAGUUUGGAAGUGUUGCCUGCAUUUAAAACUUACAUAAAAGUUCCAAUUUCUGAAUUUUUUUUCCAAUGUCAGGUGAUCAAGCAUUCUCUCUUUCCCACAUUUCAACAACUGGCUGGCACCAAGGUGUGACUGUUACCCUUCAAACCUGCUCUCCAUUUUUCUGCAGUCUCCACCCAAGCAAUCUCCCCACCUACCUGUCUUCUGGCUUCUGCAAGUAUCUGACUUUCUGCAGGUAUGCAGUCAUAGCAACAGAAAAUGGACUGAGACAGUAAACUACUCAGCAUUUCUCAAUAGACGUGCCAGGCUGUUUGGUAAGUGUCAUGAUUGGCUUCUGGUGCCUAAAUGGUGGAGCUCACUGUAUAAGCCUGGAGUACAGAGAAGUGUUCUAGAAGCCUGCACACAGGACACAGAAGUGUAAUCUCCAAAGGGAAAAGAAGCUCAGGAAAGCUGUCUCAGCUCUGGGGCUGUGCUUGGCUUGUUGAGCAGAGUUCAUUCAUUCAUCUGGCAAUUGUUCAGUGAGCACCUACUCUGCACCAGACACUGAAAGCUGGGAAUCAUUGACCAUAGCCAAAACAAAUAUCUGCCCCUAGGUUGCUUAGACUCCCAUGAAAUGGCUUGAGAGAGUGGUUCAGGUGGGGUUAGGUGGAUACUUUGCUAAGAGCUGUUACACUAGCCAAGCAGGAUAUUAUUGUAAGAGAUUGAUGACAACGACGACUGCUGUGGAGAAGUUUACACUCUGCAUUGUUAGGACAUAGACCAGUGUCCCCAGUGAGACAAGAAACAGACCGAGACACCAAAGGCCAACCACUGAGAUAAGUAAGUGAUUGCAUUUUCUGGGGAUUUUGCUUGUAGAAGUCUGGAGGACCAGAAAGCCCUCCUGCUACAGAAGCCCUAUAUAGGAACAGCCCUGUUCACAACAGCAAAACCAAGACAGUAACAAGUUGUACCCCAAACCUGAGUAAAAUAGCAUCCACUGCUGUUCCCCAUGAAGAUCUCUUGCCAGGGAAGGUAGCCUGGAGGAAAAGGUGGCAUCCUUCACUGUGUGUCCUCAUUCAUAGUGUGGUGUAAAUCAGAGAAUGCCUGUGGGCUGGGGGGCUUGACCAUCACUAAAGAAGACCAGGCAAUGAUGAAGGUGGAGAAGUCAGGCUUUAUUUCACCCUCAGCCCUACUGCAGCCUACUUUAACGUCCAUUCAUAACAUCCAUGCCAAGAGAAUUUGGACCUUUUCUAGAUUACCUUAACAGAAUGUAACACUUUUGGGGAAAACACUGUGUUUAUUCUUGAAUUAGUGAUGGCUGCUAGAAAGAAUGGCUUAUCAGCUUCAAAGGACAAAGAGAUAAAGUUAGGAGCCAUGGUCGGUUGAAAGAAACAUUUGAAUAGUGAGAGCUAUAGAAGAAACACAAAGUUCACAGGGCAACGUGGUCUUUUCUUCUGAUCACUAAAGAAGAGAAGCAAAACCUGCCCUCUAGGGCAAGUCUAAUUAGCAAAAGCUGUUGAUUAAAAAAGUGAAAAGCCCCAGGUUAAUGAGAGGAAAAAGAGUCAGAGAUAUUUUAGAGUAGAGUCUAUAGAUACCAACACUAAGUCAAAGAGAUAUGCAAAGCAUCAUGGGUCAGAGGAACAGCACAUGAAUAAGACUCAUGGUUAUUAAAGGUUAAUUAUAAAGUCUUCUUCCAUACUGCUUAUAUUUCUUUAAUUUUUUACAGAUUGCUGUGGUUUGGAUAUGGUUUGAGUGUGUCCCUCAAAGCUUCCAGUGUUAAUAAGAGAGGCUAUAUCUUUAAGAGGUGGGGCCUAGUGGAAGAUGAUUAGGCCUUAGAGCCACUGCCCUCAGAAAGGAUUCAUGUAGUCCUGGAAGAACUGGGUUUUCUCUCCCAGAAGUGGGUUGUUAUAAAGGGAGGCCACUCCACAUAGUUAACCCAUUCUGCUCAUAGUGCUUCCCUUUCUGCUUCUCUAUCAUGUCUUGGCACAGCCAAGGGGACCCUUGUCCGAUGUCAGUGCCAUGCUGUUUGGACUUUCCAAGCAUACAGUCCUUUUUGUUAUUUAUACAUCACCCAGCAUCAGGUAUUGUUACAGAAGCACAAAACAGAGGAAGACACAUAUUUUUAAAAAUAUUAAAUACUAGCAGAGCAUACCAGUGUUAUGCUUAGCUUCUUAUAAAAAACCUUUCUGAAGGUAAAAUAAGUUUCAGUGUCUAUUGCUCAGUUGAUGAGCCUUUGUAAGCCCAGGUUCAAGGCUGCAGUUCAGACAUUGCAGUUCCCCCAAGAAAGCUAAAUAUAGGCAUAACCUAGAACAGAGUUUACUCAGCCUAUUGAUGGUAGCUCCCUAUCUCAGAGAAAAGUGACAAUAUAAUCAAUAUGUUGUUGCUGUCUUAUCACAGAAGUCAUACUGUUUUUAUCUUCUCUAAGCUUUAUUAUAAUGUAUGAUGUAUUGCUUUAAGUCAGCAUGUCUCAAAUUUUCACGUGUAUUCAAACCUCUUUCAUUGUUGUUGAAAUGCAGAUUCUGAUUCCACACAUCAAGGCAAGUAUCUGAGAUAAUGCAUUUCUCACAAGCUCCCAGAGACACUGCUGCGGCUGCUUUGUGUUCCACCUUCCAGGAGCAGUUCUCUGAAUCAGUUCACUCACCACUCUGUCCCCACAACUCCUAGUUUUGAAAGAAAGCCAAGACCCUGGAACUGUAGCUCUCAAGAUUCCCAAUACAUCCACAUCACCUUGAAGGCUCAUUUUAGAAUGCAAAUUCCAAGGCCCUCACCUGAAAGAUUCUGAUUCACCGCUGCCACUUCCAUGCAUGCCUAAACCUAAGCCUGGCUAUAGGACAGCUGCGCCACCAGGUCCUGCCAACUCCCCAGACUGGCCUCGUGCCACACCCCUUUGCUUGCAAAAAGCCUGCUUUGAUGGCCUUCUUUUUGAAUGUGCUGUGCUGGUUCUCAUGACUCUGUCUAGUUCUUUGGUCUGCUCAAAUGUCUCUUCCUUAGAGGGACUCUCCCCAGUCACACAGUUUAAAGUAGCGCUUUCUGCCACAGUCACUGUCCCUGUGCUUUCUUGCCUUACUGUCUGGAAUUAUUUUGCCCUUGUAUUUGUCUAUUGGUUCACUGUCUGUCUUCUAUGGCAGCAGGGACUCUAUCUGCCUUGUUCUCCACACUAACUUCCCAGUACCUAGUACAGUGCCAGAGAAAUGAGUGAAUGAAUGAGUGAAUGAAUGAAUAUGUAGAGGUGGAGAAAGAAGAUGUAAAGUAGACAAUGUCAUGCAUUCUGGCCUUGGAAACUUAAGAUUCUAGAGUGAAGCAGAGGUGAGCGUCUCAUCAACAAAAUUAUCCUAAGAGUAGAAAAGGAAUCACCAUUGUUCCUUCAGUAUGUGGAGGAAAAUUAAAUUAGGAAUAGACGAUGUAGAAUACAAAAGUCAUUGUCCUUCCUCUGUGUUUCAUUUUAAAAUGAUAAAAAUACAUGUUCCUGGUAGACAGUUGGGAAAAUAGAAAAAAUUUAAGUAAGAAUGUAUAUACCAUAUUAUCUGACCUCCUAUAGGUAACCGUGAUUUUCAUUUUUGUGUUUUUCCUUUUAAAUUAUUGUAAAUUCUUUCAAACAUGUGUAUCUUAUUAUGCACACAUACACAUAUAUAUGGCACAUAUACUUUCAUGUUCUGUUCUUUCAUUAUUUCACAUGAUAGGAUGAGCAUGUUCUUGUACCUAUAAAGUGUCUUUAAGACAUAUUUUAAUGGUUGUGUAAUAUGCCAUUAUAUGAUGGAAAUUUAUUAUAUAUUUUACUUUCUUUAAAGUGGAAUAGAAAUGGCUAAUAAAUGACCUUUUCUUUUGAUCAGAAUAGUGUUUGUCAACCAAGUUGAUUUUGCCCCUUUGGAGACAUUUGGCUUGGACCAGAGACAUUUUUGGUUAUCAGAGCUUGGAGAGGCCAUUGGCAUAUUGUAGGUAGGGGCCAGGGACUCUUCCAAGUCUCCCACAACACACAGGGCAGGCCCGACAACAAAGAAUUGCCUGGCCCAAAUGUCAAUAAUUCUGAGGUUGAGAAAUUUGCAAUUCAAGCCAGUGUCAGGGUUAAUAUUCAACAUCCACUUAAAAUUGAAAUUUUCAUUCUGCCAUUAAAGUAUAGACUUUGCCCUCAGAUCCUGCCUUAGGAUAAUGUCUCAGUUAAUUAGAACUUUAGUUACUAGAGUCUACAACAACUGAUAUUUUAUUUUCAUAAUUCUCAUUUUACUAGAAAUUUUUAAAAAAAACAAUAAAAAAUGAAAGUUGAGUUUGCAUUUUUAUAUUUAUUUACUUACUUAUUUUGCACAGCUGGUGCCCAAACCCAGGGCCACUUGGUGCUAGCCAAGCUCUGUACCACUGAGCCACAUAGCCAGCCCAAGGUUGUAGUUUAAAAAUGAGGUUCUAGGGAUGAACAUAAUGGCUCUGGAGUUCAUCCAUACUUGAGACCAUACUUUCCUAUAUUCAAACACCAAGACACAGAGAGCUCAGGGCAGUCUCAGGCUGUCACUUGAGCCCAGUAGAAAACACUUCUGUAAGGCAGAGAAGUGAUUCAGUCAUUUUAGAAAUAGACAUCACAAAAGUCUUUAAAAGGGGGUUUUGAGGAGUACUUUGUUAAAUUCAGACAUUUAAAAUUCUAUUCCCUGAACCUUUUUCUGAAUGGAACUUUUACUCUUCUAUGCCUUUUGCAAUAUGUGAAUUUGCUGGGGGAAUUCCACAUUUGGUAAACAAAGUCAUUGAAACCACCUUCCUCUGUUAAGAAAUGUGAACAUCCCAUUUAUCUUAGAUUUAGAUCUUUGAGGCUUUACCUGACCUUUGCAUGGAGAUAAUUGGUACAGAACAAUAUGUUAGGGUAUGCCUCCAUAGGGAAUCCAAAUACCAUUGGUUUGUUCUAGAACAAAGAGGACGUUUGCUAUUCCUUUUCUUCUGUCCAGAUUCUUACUGGGGUUGAUUGUGAAUAGAAAGGAGUUUAACUUGGAAAUAUUUGGAAUUGCAUUUGAGAUAUUUAAAAGAAUAAACAAAAGGCCUUCCCAAGGAGGUGCUAGAUAAAAGUUAUCAAACUCAGCAGAAUCAGGAAUCACUUUCUGAGCCAUAACAAUGGCAAUGCAAUUCUUGUUAACAUAGGAUCAGAGCUGAGAGCCUGCAAGGAUGGACUGAGGUCAGUGCUUCACACCUUGAGAUUGAUGUGUGCCUCUGAGGGUUGCAUUUGUUGGCAACUGUGCCUUCUGCAGUAUUUUAUGUGGCUGAUCUUCAAGGCUUUGGACCUGCUAUGAAAGGAUUGGAUGAAGACAAGAAGCAUUUCUUGGCUCUCAUCGCUACAUCAGCUAACAACACAGACUGUAUCAUUUGGGAGACCUGCAAGAAGAAGGCAGGGGGUCACAAAAGAGAGACCCAUAGGAAGACAAUUAAAAAUAAGCAAUCAUGUGCUCAGAGAGAAUAUGCUGGCUAUAAAAUAAGUGCAGGAAGAAAAGAGAUGGAUGGGAAGUCAAUUCUUAGGUCUCUCUCUUUUGGGUGAUAUGCAGUCUUUCUUUUUUGCCUUCCGCUCUCAGUUGGCAACCUUUGGUUUCUAAAUGUGCACUUCUUUGUAAUUUUCCACUAAAAUACUUAUCAGCUGCAGUGUAUGAUAUACACAAUGCUUUCAAGAUUUGUAAGGCUGAAGAAAGAAAAGUGCAUUGCUUACUGGAAAGAUACAGUAUAUACAUCUGCAGACACAGAUGUACCCAAAUAUGUGGGUGGUGGCACAGAACAUAGGCCCUCCAGAUACACACACACACACACACACACACACACACCUGGAGAUGUCUAUAAACUUAGGCAAUUUUCCAAAAAGGAUUUGCUCAUAUUCAACUGAAUCAAAUAGUUUGGACUGGAGUGGUGUAGGUGAUAAAAAAUGGGAAGUAGAAGAGAAUAAAGUUCAAAAUGUGGACAAAUGUCUUUCCCAAUGCAGAAUCCCUCCACAUAGUGACUCCAUCUCAAUAAACCCAGACUAAAUUAUUACUUCAAUUUAGUCUCUAAUUCUGCACAUACUUAGACCACAUCUACCUGCCCAGCAGAUACCAUGACAACACUCCUGAAUAUGAUACUGGUUUUGCCCUCAAGAAUUAGGUCUAAGUGGAGCAUGUGACAAUUUUACAAAUAGUUGUUGCAUAAAUCAUCAAGUACUGCUUCAAACUGACUUUCAGAUUCUAAACCAGACUGUCAGAAGUGGCACCUAGUAUUCCUUUCAAAUAUUUCCAGUCAGUGCAGCUGGACCUUCUAGUAGGCCACACAGUCCACACUGUGGUAAACACUCUACUUAUCAAUGGUCAUGUGAUAGAAAAUGUUAGUUGGAUUCUUUGUUAAAACAAAGGGAGCUUCCUUGUAAGUGGGGUUGAUAGUAAUUUGAUUGGAGGAUUUUUAGGCCCAGAGUAAUUUUCUUUGUUCUUUGAUACUAAAAGAGACUGCAGCUUAGAAAGUGUGAGUAAACUAACCAAGGUCACACAGUUAGCAGAUUUUUGUUUUUCCACCUUCUUCCUGUUCUGCUGUUUCAUUCAUAAUAUCACUCAUGCCUAGACAUCAAGUAAAACAGGAAACUUGGCUGUGUUGGCUUUGGGUGUCUAACGAUACCUUCAUCCAGGCAGGAAAGACAGAAGAUUCCACUGAGAUAAACCAUGUAUAGUCAAUAGCUGAAUGUCUGCUUUAUAACAGAGUUCAAUAAACCUGGA